Molecule: long non-coding RNA, 2285 nt
Filed under: Helianthus annuus (common sunflower)
Lineage: Eukaryota; Viridiplantae; Streptophyta; Magnoliopsida; Asterales; Asteraceae
Description: hypothetical non coding rna
Source: RNAcentral
GCAAAGAAUCAAUCUGAAAACAAAACUCAGACAUCUAGAUUCACAAGGGUAAUCUCGUGCCUUUUUUGGUUUAAAUAGACAUGUGAUGCUCUUUGUUUUUGUUUUUUUUUUCCUACUUACAUAGGUGAACAUUUGUCAAUGUAUCUGGAUAUGGCUGAUUUCGCAACGUUGCCGUAUAAUUGGAGUCGAUACACAGUCUUUAGCUUUUCGGUCAGCAGGUUCUUAGAAGAUUUAUAAAGAUAGAUACUGAAUUGCGUUCACCUGUGGACAAAGAUGAAAUUAUAUCUAAGUGGCAAGACAGCUCGGUGUGUAUAUUGAGCGUGAAAACCUGCAGACAAAAAACUUCUGGUGCUGAAGGUGAACGAUUAAAAAGAAGCUGCAAAUAUAAAUAAGUCACUAUCCACACUCGGAUAGCCAUAGAACAACGAAAUGCGAAGAGUAAGAAGAGUGUGCUAUUGAAGAUCCGGCUGGAUAUGAAAGUGAAGGAGAAGAUCGGAGUUAUCGUCAGAGCACUUUCUGUGUAAUAGCACUUUCUGGAUCAAUUGGUGUAUUGAAAGAGGAGUUAUUGGUGUUAAAGAAAUCAACGAAUCAGCCGGUGCUUGAAGAGUUCGUACCACUUAAGAUUAAGAAAACUUGUGAUGAAGAUCCAAAGGUUGAGACCGAUUCCGGUGAUAAGAGGAAUUGGUUGAGCUCUACUCAGCUAUGGAACCCGAAUCAAAACCAUGUUCCGAAACAGAAUUCAGUGGAUCAAGUAAUUCAAAAGGUAUAAAUAAUAAAGUAAGGUAACAUUUUUUGGCUUAUAAAACUGCAGCAAGCAGUACCUUGGCUUCAACUUUUCAUUUAAGAGAUAAUUUUUAGUCUUUUAUAAUAACUUAGGUUAAAUGUCUAUUCACUUUUGGUCAAUCAGAUGUUUGUUUUUCCUUUUGUAAUCUUUGUUUUUGAAACAGAGGUUAGGAUUUCAAACAGUGGUAUGACAAACAAAUGUUUGAAACCUCUGUUUGGUUACAAACAGAGUCUUGAGAAACAGUGAUUUGGCGAAACAGAUAUUACCCUUUACAAACAGAGGUUGACUUUGGUCAAACAGUGUUUUAACUUUGGUCAAACAGACUUUUGAACCACUAAGAAUCAUAUUUUUGCAAACAGUGGUUUGACUUUGGUCAAACAGAGGUUAGGAUUUCAAACAGUGGUAUGACAAACAGAUGUUUGAAACCUCUGAUUGGUUACAAACAGAGUCUUGAGAAAUAGUGAUUUGGCUAAACAGAGAUUACCCUUUACAAACAGAGGUUGACUUUGGUCAAACAGUGUUUUAACUUUGGUCAAACAGACUUUUGAACCACUAAGAAUCAUAUUUUUGCAAACAGUUGUUUGACUUUGGUCAAAUAGACUUUUUUUUUUUGCAAACAGUUUUUUGACUUUGGUCAAACAGUGGUCAAACUGCAUUACAAGAGUCAAGCCAGGAUGAAGUCGAGCUCAGGUUCAAAGGUUAAACUAAGUCGCCUUGACUGGGAGUGAGAUUGACUUAUAUCGCUAUUAGUUAUAUUAGAAAGAACAGUUAACACACCAGGUUAGUUCCUUUUAUAGAUCUUGUAGAGUUGUAUUGCACUUAUUAUCAUUUUUAGCGUAGUUCUUCAACUAUAACAUUCAAAGCAAAGCAAACCAGCCGGUUCGACCAGUUUGAGAUUUAUAUUGAUAUUGUUCGAUUUUUACUGUUUGAUUUGGUAGUUUGAUGGUUUAACAGACGACCGGCCAACUAUUUGAUUAAGCAUCUUAAAGUUGAAGUUGGUAAAGGAAAAUGUAGGAUCCGAGUCAACGAUAUAGAAGGCGAAAGCAAGGAACUUUUGACAAUACGAAGCCACUUUGUGAUAAAGAUUUUCAUUUGUUCAAAUAUCGUUUUCAGCUCCUUCUGCAUUUAUAGAGAUAGCCAAAGACCGAAUGUUCAAGCCCUCUUUGUCAACCAUCAUAUCUAAAACUUCAAGGUUCGUUUUACCCACACCAUGAAAUGGAUGAGUAAUCAAGAAGCACAAUCGGUCUGUUUUUGUUAGAGUCUAAGUGUGGAAGAAUGUUAAUUCCUGCUUUCAAUGUUAGUUAAGCUGUUAACAGCAGGGAUAGCUUGUAUAUGAUGAAGUUUAUAUGUUUGAAUCAGUGAAUCUAUUUAUUGUGCAAAGGUAUUUUUGGGUUUUGUUCAAUUGUAUACUCGAUAUGUAUGAAUUUGAAGAUGAUCGCACAUUAAUUUGGUAUGUAUAUUUUCUAAAGACUACCCGUGUUUUUACACGGGCAUUUGGCUC